This 241-nucleotide unclassified non-coding RNA is filed under the name fungal sp. RNAcentral describes it as "partial internal transcribed spacer region". The stretch from base 1 to 46 matches the Rfam family "Eukaryotic small subunit ribosomal RNA", at positions 1786 to 1831 of the family's 1831-position model. The record is from RNAcentral. Lineage: Eukaryota; Fungi.
AAGUCGUAACAAGGUUUCCGUAGGUGAACCUGCGGAAGGAUCAUCAAUGAUGCGAUACUUUGACUUUUUUUAGGGUCAAAUGCGCAAAAGAGGCAUUGAAUUUUCAUUCAUGGCUCAUCGAGAACAUAUACAACAACACAAUUCAGGUCCAAGUUUGGUGGCAUCUUGCCUGAAAGUUUUGAUUUUUAACAAAAACCAACCAAAGCAAAACAACUUUCGGCAACGGAUCUCUCGGCUCUCC